AGCAACUCAAACAUUCUUGUAAGCUCUCUUGUAAUAUCUCUUGUGAGUAAUACAAUUCUCUUCAUUCGGCUCCAUUGCUCUCUUCUCUCUAACUCUUCGAAACCUCUAAGCUUAACUAGUCGAGAAGCUCAAGGCUUACUUAACAACCUUCGGCAAAAGUUGUCUAAGUGCCGCACGAAUUCGUUGCGCAAAACACUCAUCCCGUGACAAUAAGCCACCUUCAUAACCUAAAAGUGUAAAAAAUAUCUCUUAAAAUACCUUAAAGUUGUCACAUGCCAAUAGAAAACCAUUGAAACAAUGUCAGCCCCUCCAACACUCACAUGCACCAAGAAAAAAAAAACGGAACCAGAUCAACUGCUGCCUAAACCAUCACCAGUGAAGUCAACAACUCCCUCAACUCAAUUAGAAUCAGAGGUUGAAGCAUGCUAUUAGUGGGGACAAUCUCACAGGUGAAAGGUGUCCAACCUUAAAGAUCUCAAAGGAUGCAAAUAAAUUGCCAAAAUUACUCUGCAACACCAACUUGAGGGGAGAACAACUUAUAACGGUACGUCACGUGUUCAAAAAGACAUAAAGAUGCCCUUGGGGGCACUCAUUUAUAAGGUCAAGUCAGUCCCAUAAGUAAGGUAAGAUUUCUCUCUCCCACAAAUACUCAAAUUUUCUCUUAUCCAAGGAUUUCUCUAAAACCAAUUAUCUUCUCAAACUUUCAUCUGACUUGACCAUCAGAAUGCCAUCGUCGACUACUGUGAAACCACCUCAUUUUUGUUUUUGUUUUUAGGACUAUCCCAACUUUAACCAUUCCCAGAAAACUGUCUUGAUGCGAAACAACCCCCAUCAUUCACAAUAUCACCCCUCAAAUGGAAGCUCUCAUAAUAUUUUUGACUUAGAACUAAAAUUAGAUCAAAAUAUGAUUCCUUUUUAAUCUUUCAUGUAAAGCUUUACAAAGAUUGUUCAAAUUAAGAAAGAAAUCUGCUACAUAAUUAAGACUUCCCAAAAAUCUUUAUGACCAAGUCAUUUCAAUAACUUGAACUGAAAAUUUGUUAGCAAAGGCUAUCAAUCAAUGGGUAUUAUUAUUCUUGAUGAAUAUUAUGACCAAAAACCAAAUUUUAAUUUGAAACAAAAUGAUUUUUUAUUUAGCACAACUAAUCUGUUUUGUUUUGUUUGACAAUAGAAAGAUGUCUAAAAUGUCGUUUUAUGUUUGAAGACAAUAUUAUGACAUCAUCAAUAUAACCAAUUAAGAAUUUUGAAUAUGGAUUAAAAAUUUCAUUCAUUAUUCUUAGAAACUCUGGUGGAGCAUUUAUUAAUCCAAAUGGCAAUAUAUUCAUAUCGCCUAUUAUAUGCGUACACACAUAUAAAGCAGCAAAGGUGGGGACCGACCGGACAGGAUUCAUGCAAACUCUUCAAAUUUCUGUUGAACCCAUUUGUUGUAAUCUUGCAGCAACUGCCGUAAAAGCAAUGGGACAAGCCUAUCCACGAGAGCUUGCAUCAUUCUG
RNAcentral lists this long non-coding RNA (1490 nucleotides) under Citrus sinensis (sweet orange). RNAcentral's name for it is "long non-coding RNA (CSIN_LNC002841)". Lineage: Eukaryota; Viridiplantae; Streptophyta; Magnoliopsida; Sapindales; Rutaceae. The record is from RNAcentral.